GUGAAUUAGCCAAGGUAAGACAGAGGUCCUGGAUGCAGAAAGGCUGUGAAACUUGUCCAUUGUGUUUAGGAAGACAAGGCCAAAAUGUAACCUGGACCACAAGAUUGUAUGUGAUGUCACCAUCCUGAAGACCUAUAACUCAGAGAUAUCCAUAUAUCUAUAUCUCCAGCUACAAUCCUCACACUCUCUCUCUGCCUCAAAGAUACGAUGGAUUGUGUCGGACCACUGCAAUAAACAUAAUGUAGAUGCCUCUCCUGGAGACUCUUUGAAUCUACUUCAUGAGAUCCAUGACACUGUCUGCUAUGUCGUUGCAGAGCUUCUUGCAAGGAAUGAUAGUGAUGUACUUGCUCAUGUGUAA
Long non-coding RNA from Pan paniscus (pygmy chimpanzee), 358 nucleotides. Lineage: Eukaryota; Metazoa; Chordata; Mammalia; Primates; Hominidae. The record is from Ensembl.